CCUACGGGUGACAGCAGUGAGGAAUAUUGGUCAAUGGACGAGAGUCUGAACCAGCCAAGCAGCGUGAAGGAUGACUGCCCUAUGGGUUGUAAACUUCUUUUAUAUGGGAAUAAAAUGUUCCCCGUGUGGGAUUUUGUAUGUACCAUAUGAAUAAGGAUCGGCUAACUCCGUGCCAGCAGCCGCGGUAAUACGGAGGAUCCGAGCGUUAUCCGGAUUUAUUGGGUUUAAAGGGAGCGUAGGUGGAGUGUUAAGUCAGUUGUGAAAGUUUGCGGCUCAACCGUAACAUUGCAGUUGAAACUGGCAGUCUUGAGUACAGGAGAGGUGGGCGGAAUUCGUGGUGUAGCGGUGAAAUGCUUAGAUAUCACGAAGAACUCCGAUUGCGAAGGCAGUUCACUGGACUGCAACUGACACUGAGGCUCGAAAGUGUGGGUAUCAAACAGGAUUAGAUACCCGGGUAGUC
Molecule: ribosomal RNA, 460 nt
Filed under: uncultured bacterium
Lineage: Bacteria
Description: partial 16S ribosomal RNA
Rfam family: Bacterial small subunit ribosomal RNA
Source: RNAcentral